This 684-nucleotide long non-coding RNA is filed under the name Elaeis guineensis (African oil palm). RNAcentral describes it as "long non-coding RNA (EGUI_LNC046983)". Lineage: Eukaryota; Viridiplantae; Streptophyta; Magnoliopsida; Arecales; Arecaceae. The record is from RNAcentral.
GUCGUUAACACAAGAGACAAUGGUCUACAUGAAAAAUAAUAAAGAAGUUCACCAAGAACUCCAAAAUGGAUUCCACACUGUCACACAAAAGGUACAAGGAAAAAUAAAACUCAGAGUCACAUGGCUUUAUCUCACGGAGGCCAGCCAUGUGAAGCCUGCCACAUUAUAAAGUCUUGGAGUUUCUCUUUUUCUUGAUACAGUAUGUCACGUAGUGCUUUCAUGUUUCAUGUAUUAAUUAUAUUUCCUGUAAUGCACAUGUAAAUGGAACCUCUAAAAAAAGUUCGGCUCCAUUGUAAUUUCCUUCACAUACUGGUUUAGGAAGACAUGGGAUAUAAAUUUUUAAACUACAACAGGAGACAGUUCUAUAUAAAAAAUAAUGGAGUCCAAUGAGAACUCCAAGAAGGUUUCCAUACUCUCUUAACAAAAGGUAAACAAAGAAAAAGAAAACUCAACGUUGCGUGGCUUUAUGUCAUGUAGGCCAGCCAAGUGAAGCCUGUAUUCCUAUUAUAUGCAGUAAGCAGAUUUCCGCCUUAUAUCUGUUGAGUUAGGUCAUAGAAUAUAAGAGUUGAUCAUAUAUAAAGUCUUUUCUCUUUCUUUUUUCUGAGAGAGAGAAACAGAGAAAAAGGGAGGGAGACAUACCGGCCCUAUAAUUACCCUAAUGGGCCUGGUCUAUAUAUUUUGAGA